CUACCUUGAAAAACUCCAGUGAGGCCUGAGUUCUAAUCCUGGAUCUGUCAUCCAUCAGCUGAAGGGUCUUGGGUAAGUCAUUUAACCUCUGAGCCUCAGAUGCUCCCUCCCCUGUAACACCGGGGGUCACAGGACCAAGCGAGCAUGGGAACUUGAUGCUGCCAGAUCAGGGUGGGAAGAAGGAAGACAGAGCCCCUAGGUCCUCGCUCUACACGAGGUGACCUGUGUGCCCCUAGGGGCCCUUAUUUCCAUGUGGACACCCUAGCUUGUUUCCUCUGAGUAAAGCACCUGGCAGGCACCCCUCUCCACCCAAAGCCUGGGGAGUCCAGCCUGCUGGGAGGACAGAGGGUGACCUGCUGUCCUGGCCUCCAGGGGAGGUCCUGUCCCCUGUACCUGGGAUGCCUGCCUCCUCACCCUCAGUAGGCUGAUGAUCUGCAUGAAUGCCUAUCCCUCAUCCUCUUGCUGGGCUAACCUGACCCUAGACCACAGGCUGGCAAGUAUCUGGAAGUGGACACAAAGGAGGCAGGCCUCUCUUGAGGCAUCCAGCCUGUGGGACUCUCAGCUCCCACCACCCUCUCUAGAAGUGAGUGAGGAGGAGCUCACUCCUCAUCUCUCAAUGAGAAGUUUGUCAAGGAGAGUCUUUGUCCUCAGGCGUUUCCAAACUGUCGCCCACCAGCUGCACAGCCUCUCUCCCCUACCAAGCUCUUCUGAAAAAUCUUGUGUGUCUUUUCAAAAUAGAAUUAAAUGACAAGAACUGACUAUUUAGGGAGGGGUUCCUGAGGGGAAAUGGAAUCUCUUCAACCUUGAAAUUACAGCAGCUUUUCUUUUCUCAAAAGAAAAGAAAAACAUGUCAGAUCAUUGAUAUUCUGAGCCAGACCUUGUUUUGAAGUAUGCUCUCCUCUGUCCUUUCACAAACUACAGCCCUUCUCCUUCUUUGAAAAUAAGAUCACAUCAAGUCAGGGAUUAGAAAUGGGAAAACUUCAAUCAGAGCCUCCCUCUGCCAGUACACACCUCAGUACACUCCAAGGCCUGCAGAAUCAGCUCCCGCUACAGCCCAGCAUCAUCAUUCAAAACGCACCCGCAGGAGCCUCAAGCCCACAGGCCCCUAGACCACAGACCAGCACCUGGGGUGACCCGUGAUGGACGUGCAGCUCCAAGUGAGACUACGUCCCUGGACGCACAGAGCUUGGUCCAGCUUCCUGGAUACCUCUAUGUCUCCUGAGACACAGCCUAUGCAGCAGAACCAGCUGUGGAGUUGGGCAGAUCUGCUCCCCAGAUCAGAAGGCCCUGUGAGGCCUGCAUGGCCAGGAAGAGAGAUCUCACCAGAAACCAAAUCAGCCAGAAUCUUGAUCUCAGACUUCUAGCCUCCAGAACUGGUUUAAGAACGUGCCUCUGGCUUUGAGGGAAGAUCCACAGAUCCCACAGAGCCCUCCUCCUGUGUCUUCCCGUGGUCCCUUGUCUCUCUCAGGACCGGCCUUUCCUCGUGCUGUCCCCUCACGCUGGAACCCGCCGUCUUGCCUGGCUGGCUGCUCCUCACCUUCAGGUCUCAGCUGAAAAGUCUCUUUUUCAGCAUGGUUUGACGAGCCGUGUGCAGAACCGGGCCUAGGAUCCAAACCCGCCAACCCUGGGCCACUGAAGUGGAGCAUGUGAACUUAACCACUACACCACUGGGCCGGCCCACACACAGUUAUUGUUUCUUGUCUAAAAGACCAGCUGAAGAACCUAGAAAGGAAGAAGGAAAAAUUUUCCUUCCCUCUGGCUCCCAGCCCUGCCUCAGAAUAGCUGGAAAAGGAGGGCCCUACGUGGCAAUCCCUGCAAUGAGAAAACCAUGUGUCAAAGCUGUUGCCGAAUCCCUUGCUCUAUUUUUACCUUCCUGACACUACUUCUUUGAGCCUGAGGAGGGAUCCUGGCCUGAGGUGGCCCGAGCCGGCGUCUCCGAGGCAGAUGUGGCCAGCCUUCACCUUGUUCUCCAGAAACCACCAAAAAGCCGGUUAUUCAUGUCUCUUGACCAGAAAUAAAUGCAUUAGACAAAUGUUCUCAGGCAAUCUUGAGGGAUGUGAACAUAAAAUUACCCCAUAAAUUACUUUUGUUUCCUUUCCUCAGCUCAAAGUUGGCUUUUUUGUUCGCAUUAGUUACAUUAAAAUUGGACGGUAAUUAAUGCUCUUAAAGUAGAAUGUCCAUAUUCCUAAGUUUAGGAAGAAAAACCACCUAGGAAUGAAAAAAUGUGGACAUAUGUGAAAUGCCAUUCUAUUAGCCACAGAAUCCUUUAUGAGCCUCAGUAGGGAGCGCCCGUCAAGUGGGAUUUGUGGCAGAACACACCAAGGCAGACCGUGUCUGCGGUUCCCUUUCUCUCUGUUCCCGGCUCCAGGUCAAGGAAGCCUUUGACACCCGUAGCCAGAAGCUCUGGGGCUUUGCCAACCUCUAAUUACAUUUCUUUUUUUAAAUAUUGAUAAACAGUUCCUCUGUUGCUUCAAAUGUUUUUAAACACUGAACCUGUAGCUGUUGGCUCUGAACAAGGAGAGCAGAGCCUCUAGGCUUCCUUAGGCCCACAGAGCCUCUCCCUGCACCUCGGGGCUCUUGGACUUGCAUUCAAACACUGAAGGAAGAAAACUGUCUCUUUGGGCGAGGGUGUGUGUGUGGGGGUCACUUCAGGAUUCAAAAUCAGGCCUGGCUAGGCUCUAGGGUCAGGCCCUGCUCUCCCCAGAUGGGGACUUCUGGCCUCUCCUACUACCUGGGCUCCUACUCUGGGAUCAGGGUGGAGGUGUGGGACUGAGGCAGGAGGGGCCACCAUCCAACUCCACUGCCCUGUCGCCUGAUGCCCCACUGCACAUCCAGUCACCACUUUGCUUUACUGGUGAAUGCCAGUCCCUGGUUCCACAGGCUUCGGAUGUAAAAAGGACAACACUAGUGUCCUCCCCACCAACAUGUCUGCUACCUGGGAUGGAGGGGAGUGGGACUGGAAGGGACCCCCUUCAAGUCUCAUGGAGUCUAGAAGAGCUAAGUCCAUCCAUCCCAUCAUGGGGACACCCACACAGAAGGACCCUCCAGGCCCAGGCUCCCCCAGAGGCAGCUGACUGCAGUGUGUGGGGAGGGCAGUGGUCCCCAUUCCUCCUGGAUGACUCAGAGCCCAGUCAGCUGCUUCUUGCCCAGACUGCCAGGUUCCCUGUCCUCAUUGAUUAGAAGACUUGGCCAGCAGCCAGGUAACAACGUCACUUCUGUAGCGACCGUGUCCAGAGAGGAGUGCCUUGUUACAAAUGAGGCAUGUCAGUGACGUCCAUGGUACCCCGAAGCCCUUGGCUCCACGAAGCCGAGGCCAAGUUCCUGACGUCAUCACACCUCCCCACUCUACACCACAGCAGGGCAGCAACUAUUGUCACCACAGUUUUACAGAUGAGGAAACUGAGGCCCAGAGAGGUAAAGCAUGCUGCUCAAGAUCACACUGGAGGAGUUGGGAUUUGCACCCAGGUCCAUCUGACUCUGAAACCAUAGCUCUUCUCAAUCCAUCCUGCCACAGAGCCUCCUGGUCCCACUUCCUGCCUUUGGCAAGUGGCCUCUGGAAGGGGCUACCUUCAAAUACAUGCAUCAGGGGUGAGGUGGUCCUGGGUAAGGAUCCAGGGCUCUG
Molecule: long non-coding RNA, 3622 nt
Organism: Diceros bicornis minor
Lineage: Eukaryota; Metazoa; Chordata; Mammalia; Perissodactyla; Rhinocerotidae
Exons: 8
Source: RefSeq, a predicted model, not a curated record